GUCCAGACUCCUACGGGAGGCAGCAGUGGGGGAUAUUGCACAAUGGGGGGAACCCUGAUGCAGCGACGCCGCGUGGGUGAAGGAGAAUUUCGGUAUGUAAAGCCCUAUCGGCAGGGAAGAAGCAAGACGGUACCUGACUAAGAAGCCCCGGCUAACUACGUGCCAGCAGCCGCGGUAAUACGUAGGGGGCGAGCGUUAUCCGGAUUCACUGGGUGUAAAGGGAGCGUAGACGGCCAAGCAAGCCAGGGGUGAAAGCCCGGGGCCCAACCCCGGGACUGCCCUUGGAACUGCUUGGCUGGAGUGCGGGAGGGGCAGGCGGAAUUCCUGGUGUAGCGGUGAAAUGCGUAGAUAUCAGGAGGAACACCGGUGGCGAAGGCGGCUUACUGGACCAUAACUGACGUUGAGGCUCGAAAGCGUGGGGAGCGAACGGGAUUAGAUACCCGGGUA
RNAcentral lists this ribosomal RNA (447 nucleotides) under uncultured bacterium. Its description in RNAcentral is "bacterial SSU rRNA". It matches the Rfam family "Bacterial small subunit ribosomal RNA", at positions 329 to 792 of the family's 1533-position model. The record is from RNAcentral.